Molecule: RNA transcript, 1183 nt
Organism: Syzygium oleosum
Lineage: Eukaryota; Viridiplantae; Streptophyta; Magnoliopsida; Myrtales; Myrtaceae
Exons: 2
Source: RefSeq, a predicted model, not a curated record
GUCUGCUCUCUCUCGCACUCCCCGCACCCACGACUCGAUGAGCUUGCCUCUCCUUUCUCCGUUCGGCGUCGCCUGGGCUCUUCCUUUGUCUUCAUCAAUCGCACCCAGCAGAGGAGCUCCGCCGCGGUGGCGCCGGCCGCGAGGGCGGACUACGGUGGUGCGCAGCGGCAGAUUGGGGGCGGCGGCAAUAAGAACAGGGGCAGCAGCAACGGGAAUAGGAGGGUGGUCAAUGACGAUGACGAUUCGGACGUCGAGAUGCUAAGCAUCUCAAGCGGGGACGAGGAUUCUGCUAAGGAUCGCGCGGGUUCGAGGGCCAGAGGUGGCGCGAUUUUUGUUCAAGGCCCGGGAGGGACGAUGACAGAGCGUGGGAUGGCGAAGAACCUGAUUGCUGGAGGCACGUGUACGAAGACGAGGUGAGUUCGAGAUGGUAAACCUAAGGAGAAAGGGAGAAGUUUCAGAGCACGACAAGAACGAGGGAUGGAGGAGGGUCUUCCAUGUCCGCUUCGGUUCCAGGGGGAGAAGAAGAAGAGAGAUUGAUUGUUGAAGCUCGAUCGAGGGAGAAAGAGAAAUAGAAAGGAUCAUCUUUGGGUGUGGAAAUAUUACCUUUUCUUGUUUUUUCGUUGACCCUUUUUCUUAUCGUUGUCGUUGUGAUCGAUAGAGAGUAGCGAGAACGAGAAAGAUGGUGUUGGUGUUGGCAUUGGGGGAUCUACACAUACCGCACAAGGCGCCUGAUCUGCCCGCCAAGUUCAAGUCCAUGCUCGUCCCUGGCAAGAUCCAACACAUCAUCUGCACCGGCAAUUUAUGCAUCAAAGUGGGUCCCUUUAUCCUUCUCUUGUUGUUGUUGUUGAUUGAAUUCCCCGACCCAUUUGCGAUCGUGAUCUUAUUUGGAUUUCUUUUAGCAAUUUCGCGUUGCUCGGUCGAUGUUGUCUUUGUUUUCUUUUUCGUUUUUGGCUGCAGCUCCCAUGAGGUGAUGUAGCGAUGGCAUUUUUUGAUUCAUUGUUGUUUUCGUUUGAUGUCAUUUUAGUCUAUGCCCUCUAGCAUAUUGUGGGGAUUUUUUGUUUUGGUAGGGGGUUUGGGGGUUACAAGCAUUAUUCUGUUGGUGAUUUUUCCUUUCCUUAUUUUUGGCCUCGCUUAUGGGGCCUUACCUUGCGGCUCAUGGAUGCAGUUGAAAGUUUUGUUUGAA